RNAcentral lists this microRNA precursor (87 nucleotides) under Solanum tuberosum (potato). RNAcentral's name for it is "MIR8024 microRNA precursor family". It matches the Rfam family "MIR8024 microRNA precursor family". The record is from Rfam by way of RNAcentral. Lineage: Eukaryota; Viridiplantae; Streptophyta; Magnoliopsida; Solanales; Solanaceae.
AUGAAGAAUUUGAAGACUUCCAACUUGUAGACGUGAAGAAUUUGAAGACUUCCACUUGCAUACUUGGAGGAUUUGAAGACUUCAACU